UACAGAGGUCUCAAGCGUUGUUCGGAUUCAUUGGGCGUAAAGGGUGCGUAGGCGGCGGGGCAAGUCUGAUGUGAAAUCCCGGGGCUCAACCCCGGAACUGCACUGGAUACUGCCCUGCUAGAGAUCUGGAGAGGAAACUGGAAUUUACGGUGUAGCAGUGAAAUGCGUAGAUAUCGUAAGGAAGGCCAGUGGCGAAGGCGAGUUUCUGGACAGAUUCUGACGCUGAGGCACGAAGGCCAGGGGAGCAAACGGG
Molecule: ribosomal RNA, 253 nt
Filed under: uncultured bacterium
Lineage: Bacteria
Description: partial 16S ribosomal RNA
Rfam family: Bacterial small subunit ribosomal RNA
Source: RNAcentral